Molecule: long non-coding RNA, 1434 nt
Filed under: Oryctolagus cuniculus (rabbit)
Lineage: Eukaryota; Metazoa; Chordata; Mammalia; Lagomorpha; Leporidae
Description: lncRNA (ENSOCUG00000039599.1)
Source: RNAcentral
ACACUUCACAGACAGGGAAAUGGAAGCCAAGGACGGUGUUUUAUUCAUCAUCAAUGCCCGCAGUGUUGGCGCCCUGUAGAAAUCUAUGAGCACAUCUUCCAGUUUUAGUUCACUGUGGAAAGGGCCAGACACACCUAAUAAAGACAAUGGGGGACCGGCGAUGCGCUGGAACACGCAGAUCUCAACUUCCAACUCAGGCCGUGCUGUCCCUCGGGGAAGGGAACAACCCAGACAACCGUCACCAGCCGCAGUAGUUCAUUCUGGGAUGUGCACCCGCCUGGGACCCGAGGACGUUUCCACAAGAGACCAGAAUUGGAAUCUGUGCCCCUCCCACUAAAGUAAGCCACACCCCUCCCAACGAGGGUGGGAGUCAUCCAAUCAGCUGGGGGUCUGGGUGGACCGAGAGGCACGAGAAAGGAGAGUUGUCCCGCUCUGCCUGUUUGUCUGCAGCCUGGACAUUGGCCCUCUCCUUCCUUCAGAGUGGAACUCCCACCCUCAGCUCUCCUGGGUCUCCAGUUUGCUGACUGCAGAUCUUUGGACUUCACCUCCCCUGUAAAUGUGAGCGGUCCCUUGUAGCCUCUCUCUGUCCCUCUCGGUACGUGUGUGUUUGUAUAAGCACACACAUGGCGUGUGUAUAUUUACAGUCACUCUGAGAUAAAAAGUAUAGCGAGGUUAACGAUGUAAACAGUUACAUAGCCAUUUACUGUCAGUAUCAAGCAUUAUCCACUGUAGAUAAUUGCAUGUGCUACACUUCUUUUUUAAAAUAUUUAUUUUAUUUACUUGAAAGGCAGAGUUACAGAGAUAAAGGAAGAGACACAGAGAGAAAGAGAGGCCUUCCAUUCGCUGGUUUACUCCCCAAAUGGCCACAAAGGCUGGGUCUGGGCCAGGCUGAAACCAAGAGCCUGGACUCCAUCCGGGUCUCCUAUGUGGAUGCACAGGCCAAGUACUUGGGCCGUCUUCUGCUGCUUUCCCAGGUGCACUAGCAAGAAGCUGGAGCAAAAGUGGGGCAGGCAGGACUGGAACCAGUGGCCUAUACAAGGAUGCCAGCAUUGCAGGUGGUGGCUUAACCCGCUGUGCCACAAUGCCAGCCACAUGUUGUUAUUGUUAAAUGAGCUAAUAAUGGGGCCGGCACUGUGGCAUAGUGGGUAAAGCCACUACCUGCAGUGCCGGCAUCCCAUAUGGGAGCCGAUUUGAGUCCCUGCUGCUCCACUUCUGAUCCAGCUCUCUGCUAUGGCCUGGGAAAGCAGUGGAAGAUGGCCCAGGUCCUUGGGCCCCUGCACCCAUGUAGGAGACCCGGAAGCAGCUCUUGGCUCCUGGAUUCAGAUCGAAGCAGCUCUGGCCAUUGUGGCCAACUGGGGAGUGAACCAGUAGAUGGAACCCCUCCCCCAUAUCUGCCUUUCAAAUGAAUAAAUAAAUCUUUUUUAAAAAAUGCCA